CACGGGGGGAGCAAGCGUUGUUCGGAAUCACUGGGCGUAAAGGGCGUGUAGGCGGUUGGGUAAGUGAGAUGUGAAAUCCUCCGGCUCACCCGGAGACCUGCAUCUCAAACUGCCCAGCUAGAGUAUGGGAGAGGAUGAGGGAAUUCCUGGUGUAGCGGUGAAAUGCGUAGAUAUCAGGAGGAACACCGGUGGCGAAAGCGCUCAUCUGGCCCAAUACUGACGCUGAUGCGCGAAAGCUAGGGGAGCAAACGGG
This 253-nucleotide ribosomal RNA is filed under the name uncultured bacterium. Its description in RNAcentral is "partial 16S ribosomal RNA". It matches the Rfam family "Bacterial small subunit ribosomal RNA", at positions 524 to 776 of the family's 1533-position model. The record is from RNAcentral.